Molecule: ribosomal RNA, 421 nt
Filed under: uncultured bacterium
Lineage: Bacteria
Description: bacterial SSU rRNA
Rfam family: Bacterial small subunit ribosomal RNA
Source: RNAcentral
UAAGGAAUAUUGGUCAAUGGACGCAAGUCUGAACCAGCCAUGCCGCGUGAAGGAUGAAGGUCCUCUGGAUUGUAAACUUCUUUUAUCUGGGACGAAAACGGGAUUUUUAUCUCAAUUGACGGUACCAGAGGAAUAAGCACCGGCUAACUCCGUGCCAGCAGCCGCGGUAAUACGGAGGGUGCGAGCGUUAUCCGGAUUUACUGGGUUUAAAGGGUGCGUAGGUGGGCUUAUAAGUCAGUGGUGAAAUCUCCGAGCUUAACCUGGAAACUGCCGUUGAUACUAUAGGUCUUGAAUUAUCUGGAGGGCAGCGAAAUAUGUCAUGUAGCGGUGAAAUGCUUAGAUAUGACAUAGAACACCAAUUGCGAAGGCAGCUUACUACAUAUAAAUUGACGCUGAGGCACGAAAGCGUGGGGAUCAAACA